This 449-nucleotide ribosomal RNA is filed under the name uncultured bacterium. RNAcentral describes it as "partial 16S ribosomal RNA". It matches the Rfam family "Bacterial small subunit ribosomal RNA", at positions 29 to 523 of the family's 1533-position model. The record is from RNAcentral.
AACGAACGCUGGCGGCAUGCCCAACACAUGCAAGUCGAACGAGAUCUUCGGGUCUAGUGGCGCACGGGUGCGUAACGCGUGGGAAUCUGCCCUUUGGUUCGGAAUAACAGUGGGAAACGACUGCUAAUACCGGAUGAUGACGAAAGUCCAAAGAUUUAUCGCCAGAGGAUGAGCCCGCGUAGGAUUAGCUAGUUGGUGUGGUAAAGGCGCACCAAGGCGACGAUCCUUAGCUGGUCUGAGAGGAUGAUCAGCCACACUGGGACUGAGACACGGCCCAGACUCCUACGGGAGGCAGCAGUGGGGAAUAUUGGACAAUGGGCGAAAGCCUGAUCCAGCAAUGCCGCGUGAGUGAUGAAGGCCUUAGGGUUGUAAAGCUCUUUUACCCGGGAUGAUAAUGACAGUACCGGGAGAAUAAGCUCCGGCUAACUCCGUGCCAGCCGCCGCGGUAA